RNAcentral lists this ribosomal RNA (603 nucleotides) under uncultured fungus. RNAcentral's name for it is "eukaryotic LSU rRNA". The stretch from base 208 to 361 matches the Rfam family "5.8S ribosomal RNA". Lineage: Eukaryota; Fungi. The record is from RNAcentral.
AGUAAAAGUCGUAACAAGGUCUCUGUAGGUGAACCUGCGGAGGGAUCAUUACAAGUGACCCCGGUCUAACCACCGGGAUGUUCAUAACCCUUUGUUGUCCGACUCUGUUGCCUCCGGGGCGACCCUGCCUUCGGGCGGGGGCUCCGGGUGGACACCUCAAACUCUUGCGUAACUUUGCAGUCUGAGUAAACUUAAUUAAUAAAUUAAAACUUUUAACAACGGAUCUCUUGGUUCUGGCAUCGAUGAAGAACGCAGCGAAAUGCGAUAAGUAAUGUGAAUUGCAGAAUUCAGUGAAUCAUCGAAUCUUUGAACGCACAUUGCGCCCCCUGGUAUUCCGGGGGGCAUGCCUGUUCGAGCGUCAUUUCACCACUCAAGCCUCGCUUGGUAUUGGGCAACGCGGUCCGCCGCGUGCCUCAAAUCGACCGGCUGGGUCUUCUGUCCCCUAAGCGUUGUGGAAACUAUUCGCUAAAGGGUGCUCGGGAGGCUACGCCGUAAAACAAACCCAUUUCUAAGGUUGACCUCGGAUCAGGUAGGGAUACCCGCUGAACUUAAGCAUAUCAAUAAGCGGAGGAAAAGAAACCAACAGGGAUUGCCCCAGUAACG